GGUGUUUCCUACCAUGCACCAUGAACGAAGUCCUACAAGAAAUUCAAUAGAUGGGGAUCGACGAUCCAACUACGACUGGUACCGUCACGCACCAUCGAGGCACGAGAGGAACGACCGGCCGUGAUCAGAAAAACAAAGAGACCAAAGCAGAAGCAGAAGCCGAGACCGACCCAUACACGGAGUAAUUAACACAAUUUCCGGAGGCUUCUCCGGGGGAGGAGCUACCUCAUUG
This 232-nucleotide long non-coding RNA is filed under the name Vigna radiata. RNAcentral's name for it is "long non-coding RNA (VRAD_LNC002125)". Lineage: Eukaryota; Viridiplantae; Streptophyta; Magnoliopsida; Fabales; Fabaceae. The record is from RNAcentral.